Molecule: unclassified non-coding RNA, 279 nt
Filed under: plant metagenome
Description: partial contains small subunit ribosomal RNA, internal transcribed spacer 1, and 5.8S ribosomal RNA
Source: RNAcentral
UCUCCGUAGGUGAACCAGCGGAAGGAUCAUUACCGAAUAACCGAGGCGCAAGGGCUUUUGAUGACACGAAUCGUUGCUCACGCCGGAGUGCCCUGACACCCAUCCACCUCACCCCUAUGUCCCCCACGGCGUCAGUCCCCCUUGUCCUUUUUCGUAGGGGGGGUUACGUUAUCACAAAAUGUAUCAAAACUGUGAACAACGGAUCUCUUGGUUUUGGCAUCGCGCAAUAACUACACCUAUCAAAAAAGCACACCUCGGAACUCCAAUCACCAAAGAUCG